CUACUUUUUCUCCCUACAUAAUAUAUCCAUUUCAUAAGUAGUAUGAAUAAAUAUAAGAACUUUUACCAACAAACAACUCUAGCAAGCAAACGUAAUUACCAAGAAGAGCAGCAGCUUGCUAAUCAAUGCAAAAGACAACAAAACGGCAUCAUAAGCACAACUUCACUUUAUCUAAUCAUUUCCUAAUCAACUUCUAUUUAUCAAGCAAACUUGCAUCA
RNAcentral lists this long non-coding RNA (218 nucleotides) under Elaeis guineensis (African oil palm). RNAcentral describes it as "long non-coding RNA (EGUI_LNC031031)". The record is from RNAcentral. Lineage: Eukaryota; Viridiplantae; Streptophyta; Magnoliopsida; Arecales; Arecaceae.